RNAcentral lists this ribosomal RNA (501 nucleotides) under uncultured bacterium. RNAcentral describes it as "bacterial SSU rRNA". It matches the Rfam family "Bacterial small subunit ribosomal RNA", at positions 29 to 521 of the family's 1533-position model. The record is from RNAcentral.
AACGAACGCUGGCGGCGUGGCUAAGGCAUGCAAGUCGAGCGGAUUUAUCUAACGGGUAACUGGAGGAUAAAUUAGCGGCGGACGGGUGAGGAAUACAUGGAUAACGUACCCCGGACACAGGGAUAGCGGCGGGGCCGAAAGGCUCCUUUGCGAAAGUGCCGGUAAUACCUGAUGAGCCCGUAGGACCGCAUGGUCCAGCGGGCAAAGCUCCGACGGUCUGGGAUCGGUUCAUGUCCUAUCAGCUAGUUGGCGGGGUAACGGCCCACCAAGGCGGCGACGGGUACCGGGUGUGAGAGCAUGACCCGGCACAUCGGAACUGAGACACGGUCCGGACACCUACGGGCGGCUGCAGCAACGAAUAUUCCGCAAUGGACGAAAGUCUGACGGAGCGACGCCGCGUGCAGGAUGAAGUCUUUCGGGAUGUAAACUGCUGUCAGGGGCGAGGAAGAAAGUGACCAGCCCAGAGGAAGCACCGGCUAACUCCGUGCCAGCCGCCGCGGU